RNAcentral lists this ribosomal RNA (254 nucleotides) under uncultured archaeon. RNAcentral describes it as "partial 16S ribosomal RNA". It matches the Rfam family "Archaeal small subunit ribosomal RNA", at positions 729 to 982 of the family's 1478-position model. The record is from RNAcentral.
UUAGAUACCCGCGUAGUCCCAGCCGUAAACGAUGCGCGUUAGGUGUAUCGACGACCACGAGUCGUCGAGGUGCCGAAGGGAAACCGUGAAACGUGCCGCCUGGGAAGUACGGUCGCAAGGCUGAAACUUAAAGGAAUUGGCGGGGGAGCACCACAACAGGUGGAGCCUGCGGUUUAAUUGGACUCAACGCCGGGAAGCUCACCGGAUAGGACAGCAGAAUGAUUGCCGGGCUGAAGACCCUGCAUGACUAGCUG